GUUGAAAUAGCUCAGUGGGUAAGAGCACUGGCUGCCCUUUCAGAGGACCUGGGUUUAAUUCCCGGCAUCCACA
Molecule: transfer RNA, 73 nt
Filed under: Mesocricetus auratus (golden hamster)
Lineage: Eukaryota; Metazoa; Chordata; Mammalia; Rodentia; Cricetidae
Rfam family: tRNA
About the family: Transfer RNA (tRNA) molecules are approximately 80 nucleotides in length. Their secondary structure includes four short double-helical elements and three loops (D, anti-codon, and T loops).
Source: Rfam by way of RNAcentral